Gossypium arboreum is the source of this 119-nucleotide ribosomal RNA. The record is from Rfam. NCBI's taxonomy places the organism in Eukaryota, Viridiplantae, Streptophyta, Magnoliopsida, Malvales, Malvaceae.
GGGUGCAAUCAAACCAGCACUAGUGCGCUGGAUCUCAUCAGAACUUCGCAGUUAAGCGUGCUUAGGCGAGAGUAGUACUAGGAUAGGUGACCUCUCGGGAAGGCCUUGUGUUGCACCCC